AGCAGCCGCGGUAAUUCCAGCUCCAAUAGCGUAUAUUAAAGUUGUUGCAGUUAAAAAGCUCGUAGUUGAAUUUCGGGAUCAAUAUAUCGGUCGUGCCUUGGUACGUACUGGUAUCAUUGAUUUCUCCCUUCUGACGAACCAUGAUGUCAUUAAUUUGGUGUUAUGGGGAUUAGGACUGUUACUUUGAAAAAAUUGAGUGUUUAAAGCAAGCAUUAGCUUGAAUACAUUAGCAUGGAAUAAUGAAAUAGGACGUUGACCCUAUUUUGUGGUUUCUAGGAUCGACGUAAUGAUUAAUAGGGAUAGUUGGGGGCAUUAGUAUUCAAUUGUCAGAAGUGAAAUUCUUAGGAUUUAUUGAAGUACUAACUACUGACGAAAG
Molecule: ribosomal RNA, 376 nt
Filed under: uncultured Glomus
Lineage: Eukaryota; Fungi; Glomeromycota; Glomeromycetes; Glomerales; Glomeraceae
Description: SSU rRNA
Rfam family: Eukaryotic small subunit ribosomal RNA
Source: RNAcentral